RNAcentral lists this ribosomal RNA (444 nucleotides) under Streptomyces sp. HVYN-8-5. RNAcentral's name for it is "bacterial SSU rRNA". It matches the Rfam family "Bacterial small subunit ribosomal RNA", at positions 58 to 521 of the family's 1533-position model. Lineage: Bacteria; Bacillati; Actinomycetota; Actinomycetes; Kitasatosporales; Streptomycetaceae. The record is from RNAcentral.
CAAGUCGAACGAUGAACCACUUCGGUGGGGAUUAGUGGCGAACGGGUGAGUAACACGUGGGCAAUCUGCCCUGCACUCUGGGACAAGCCCUGGAAACGGGGUCUAAUACCGGAUACUGACCCUCACGGGCAUCUGUGAGGUUCGAAAGCUCCGGCGGUGCAGGAUGAGCCCGCGGCCUAUCAGCUUGUUGGUGAGGUAAUGGCUCACCAAGGCGACGACGGGUAGCCGGCCUGAGAGGGCGACCGGCCACACUGGGACUGAGACACGGCCCAGACUCCUACGGGAGGCAGCAGUGGGGAAUAUUGCACAAUGGGCGAAAGCCUGAUGCAGCGACGCCGCGUGAGGGAUGACGGCCUUCGGGUUGUAAACCUCUUUCAGCAGGGAAGAAGCGAAAGUGACGGUACCUGCAGAAGAAGCGCCGGCUAACUACGUGCCAGCAGCGGG